UGCUCUGUAACCGGAGGGAGAGUGGGGG
RNAcentral lists this small RNA (28 nucleotides) under Bombyx mori (domestic silkworm). Its description in RNAcentral is "ovarian small RNA-8620". The record is from RNAcentral. Lineage: Eukaryota; Metazoa; Arthropoda; Insecta; Lepidoptera; Bombycidae.